RNAcentral lists this ribosomal RNA (497 nucleotides) under uncultured bacterium. RNAcentral's name for it is "partial 16S ribosomal RNA". It matches the Rfam family "Bacterial small subunit ribosomal RNA", at positions 28 to 507 of the family's 1533-position model. The record is from RNAcentral.
GGCGAACGCUGGCGGCGUGCCUAAUACAUGCAAGUUGAGCGCUGAAGGUUGGUACUUGUACCAACUGGAUGAGCAGCAAACGGGUGAGUAACGCGUGGGGAAUCUGCCUUUGAGCGGGGGACAACAUUUGGAAACGAAUGCUAAUACCGCAUAAAAACUUUAAACACAAGUUUUAGGUUUGAAAGAUGCAAUUGCAUCACUCAAAGAUGAUCCCGCGUUGUAUUAGCUAGUUGGUGAGGUAAAGGCUCACCAAGGCGAUGAUACAUAGCCGACCUGAGAGGGUGAUCGGCCACAUUGGGACUGAGACACGGCCCAAACUCCUACGGGAGGCAGCAGUAGGGAAUCUUCGGCAAUGGACGAAAGUCUGACCGAGCAACGCCGCGUGAGUGAAGAAGGUUUUCGGAUCGUAAAACUCUGUUGGUAGAGAAGAACGUUGGUGAGAGUGGAAAGCUCAUCAAGUGACGGUAACUACCCAGAAAGGGACGGCUAACUACGUG